UACGGAGGGUGCAAGCGUUGUUCGGAAUUACUGGGCGUAAAGAGCGUGUAGGCGGCCGAUCAAGUCCGGUGUGAAAGCCCGGGGCUUACCCCCGGAAGUGCGCUGGAAACUGAUCGGCUCGAGUAUGGGAGAGGGAAGUGGAAUUCCUGGUGUAGCGGUGAAAUGCGUAGAUAUCAGGAGGAACACCGGCGGCGAAGGCGGCUUCCUGGACCAAUACUGACGCUGAGACGCGAAAGCGUGGGGAGCAAAC
RNAcentral lists this ribosomal RNA (250 nucleotides) under uncultured bacterium. RNAcentral's name for it is "partial 16S ribosomal RNA". It matches the Rfam family "Bacterial small subunit ribosomal RNA", at positions 524 to 773 of the family's 1533-position model. The record is from RNAcentral.